RNAcentral lists this ribosomal RNA (3013 nucleotides) under Salmonella enterica subsp. enterica. RNAcentral's name for it is "23S ribosomal RNA". It matches the Rfam family "Bacterial large subunit ribosomal RNA". The record is from RNAcentral. Lineage: Bacteria; Pseudomonadati; Pseudomonadota; Gammaproteobacteria; Enterobacterales; Enterobacteriaceae.
GGGUUGUGAGGUUAAGCGACUAAGCGUACACGGUGGAUGCCCUGGCAGUCAGAGGCGAUGAAGGGCGUGCUAAUCUGCGAUAAGCGCCGGUAAGGUGAUAUGAACCGUUAUAACCGGCGAUACCCGAAUGGGGAAACCCAGUGUGAUUCGUCACACUAUCAUUAACUGAAUCCAUAGGUUAAUGAGGCGAACCGGGGGAACUGAAACAUCUAAGUACCCCGAGGAAAAGAAAUCAACCGAGAUUCCCCCAGUAGCGGCGAGCGAACGGGGAGGAGCCCAGAGCCUGAAUCAGCAUGUGUGUUAGUGGAAGCGUCUGGAAAGGUGCGCGAUACAGGGUGACAGCCCCGUACACAAAAGCGCAUGUGCUGUGAGCUCGAUGAGUAGGGCGGGACACGUGGUAUCCUGUCUGAAUAUGGGGGGACCAUCCUCCAAGGCUAAAUACUCCUGACUGACCGAUAGUGAACCAGUACCGUGAGGGAAAGGCGAAAAGAACCCCGGCGAGGGGAGUGAAAAAGAACCUGAAACCGUGUACGUACAAGCAGUGGGAGCACAGGUUUACCUGUGUGACUGCGUACCUUUUGUAUAAUGGGUCAGCGACUUAUAUUCUGUAGCAAGGUUAACCGUAUAGGGGAGCCGUAGGGAAACCGAGUCUUAACCGGGCGUUAAGUUGCAGGGUAUAGACCCGAAACCCGGUGAUCUAGCCAUGGGCAGGUUGAAGGUUGGGUAACACUAACUGGAGGACCGAACCGACUAAUGUUGAAAAAUUAGCGGAUGACCUGUGGCUGGGGGUGAAAGGCCAAUCAAACCGGGAGAUAGCUGGUUCUCCCCGAAAGCUAUUUAGGUAGCGCCUCGUGAAUUCAUCUCCGGGGGUAGAGCACUGUUUCGGCUAGGGGGCCAUCCCGGCUUACCAACCCGAUGCAAACUGCGAAUACCGGAGAAUGUUAUCACGGGAGACACACGGCGGGUGCUAACGUCCGUCGUGAAGAGGGAAACAACCCAGACCGCCAGCUAAGGUCCCAAAGUCAUGGUUAAGUGGGAAACGAUGUGGGAAGGCCCAGACAGCCAGGAUGUUGGCUUAGAAGCAGCCAUCAUUUAAAGAAAGCGUAAUAGCUCACUGGUCGAGUCGGCCUGCGCGGAAGAUGUAACGGGGCUAAACCAUGCACCGAAGCUGCGGCAGCGAACGUAUCACCCAAGACAACUUUACGGAGUUGACGAUUGACGGAGCGAAGCGACGUCAAAGCGUUCAUUAAAGUCGAGUUGGCUUAGGGAUACGUUCGUUGGGUAGGGGAGCGUUCUGUAAGCCUGUGAAGGUGUGUCGUGAGGCAUGCUGGAGGUAUCAGAUGUGCGAAUGCUGACAUAAGUAACGAUAAAGCGGGUGAAAAGCCCGCUCGCCGGAAGACCAAGGGUUCCUGUCCAACGUUAAUCGGGGCAGGGUGAGUCGACCCCUAAGGCGAGGCCGAAAGGCGUAGUCGAUGGGAAACGGGUUAAUAUUCCCGUACUUGGUGUUACUGCGAAGGGGGGACGGAGAAGGCUAUGUUGGCCGGGCGACGGUUGUCCCGGUUUAAGCGUGUAGGUGUGUGUUCCAGGUAAAUCCGGUUCACUUUAACACUGAGGCGUGACGACGAGGCACUACGGUGCUGAAGCAACAAAUGCCCUGCUUCCAGGAAAAGCCUCUAAGCAUCAGGUAACACGAAAUCGUACCCCAAACCGACACAGGUGGUCAGGUAGAGAAUACCAAGGCGCUUGAGAGAACUCGGGUGAAGGAACUAGGCAAAAUGGUGCCGUAACUUCGGGAGAAGGCACGCUGACACGUAGGUGAAGUGAUUUACUCAUGGAGCUGAAGUCAGUCGAAGAUACCAGCUGGCUGCAACUGUUUAUUAAAAACACAGCACUGUGCAAACACGAAAGUGGACGUAUACGGUGUGACGCCUGCCCGGUGCCGGAAGGUUAAUUGAUGGGGUCAGCGUAAGCGAAGCUCCUGAUCGAAGCCCCGGUAAACGGCGGCCGUAACUAUAACGGUCCUAAGGUAGCGAAAUUCCUUGUCGGGUAAGUUCCGACCUGCACGAAUGGCGUAAUGAUGGCCAGGCUGUCUCCACCCGAGACUCAGUGAAAUUGAACUCGCUGUGAAGAUGCAGUGUACCCGCGGCAAGACGGAAAGACCCCGUGAACCUUUACUAUAGCUUGACACUGAACAUUGAGCCUUGAUGUGUAGGAUAGGUGGGAGGCUUUGAAGUGUGGACGCCAGUCUGCAUGGAGCCGACCUUGAAAUACCACCCUUUAAUGUUUGAUGUUCUAACGUGGACCCGUAAUCCGGGUUGCGGACAGUGUCUGGUGGGUAGUUUGACUGGGGCGGUCUCCUCCUAAAGAGUAACGGAGGAGCACGAAGGUUGGCUAAUCCUGGUCGGACAUCAGGAGGUUAGUGCAAUGGCAUAAGCCAGCUUGACUGCGAGCGUGACGGCGCGAGCAGGUGCGAAAGCAGGUCAUAGUGAUCCGGUGGUUCUGAAUGGAAGGGCCAUCGCUCAACGGAUAAAAGGUACUCCGGGGAUAACAGGCUGAUACCGCCCAAGAGUUCAUAUCGACGGCGGUGUUUGGCACCUCGAUGUCGGCUCAUCACAUCCUGGGGCUGAAGUAGGUCCCAAGGGUAUGGCUGUUCGCCAUUUAAAGUGGUACGCGAGCUGGGUUUAGAACGUCGUGAGACAGUUCGGUCCCUAUCUGCCGUGGGCGCUGGAGAACUGAGGGGGGCUGCUCCUAGUACGAGAGGACCGGAGUGGACGCAUCACUGGUGUUCGGGUUGUCAUGCCAAUGGCACUGCCCGGUAGCUAAAUGCGGAAGAGAUAAGUGCUGAAAGCAUCUAAGCACGAAACUUGCCCCGAGAUGAGUUCUCCCUGAGACUUAGAGUCUCCUGAAGGAACGUUGAAGACGACGACGUUGAUAGGCCGGGUGUGUAAGCGCAGCGAUGCGUUGAGCUAACCGGUACUAAUGAACCGUGAGGCUUAACCUUACAACGCCGAAG